RNAcentral lists this long non-coding RNA (234 nucleotides) under Elaeis guineensis (African oil palm). RNAcentral describes it as "long non-coding RNA (EGUI_LNC063579)". The record is from RNAcentral. Lineage: Eukaryota; Viridiplantae; Streptophyta; Magnoliopsida; Arecales; Arecaceae.
AUGGGUCGGGCUUAACUAAGGAGUGUGGUCAAUAACUGUUAGGUGAGCCCAUAUGACUUAGAGACCAAGUCGCUGCAACAUACUUAGAGAAGCAUCUGGGCAAAGAGUUAUCCAUGCAUUGGUGUGCAUGCUAUCAAUAACUGUUAGGUGAGGUACAUGACAUCGAUGGAACCACGGCACCCACUAAAAAUUUAUUUGUCGCAUUAGGGUUUUCAUUUUCCACCUGGGGAGUGG